CCUAGCUUAAUUGGGUUGUUUUAUGCAUUUUGGAUUUGAUUGGUUCGUCGUCUCAAACACAUUCCCCAUUUCCAUUUUUUAUUCUAUUUGUAUGCUAUUUCAUAUAUGGACAUAUGAUCAGAAUGCUGAGGAUGAUAACAAAUUUCAGUAUUUUAGGUGUUGGAGGAGGGCUACAUUUUUUAAUAAAAUAUUCAUGGUCUGAAUGUUGCCCCCACCCCAAUUUUUUUUCUUUUUGACUUUAAAUUUAUAAAUUAGUGUCUUGUAAGUUUUCAACGAGUCAGAAAUACGUUUUGCAGAUGAACACGUGGACAUUAUUGUUGGUAAACAAUCUUUUUCAACUGUGAACUCUGAAAUUCAGACUACGUCAGUGGGGCAGAAAAAGGGAAAAAUUAAGUAAAAAUUAGCUUGAAAGGUUGAAAAUUGGAUAAAAAAUGAAGAUAACAUAAUUUCUGAAUAAUAUAACCAGUAUUAACUUUCAUUUGUUCAAAAUAUGGACGUAUUUCAAUAAUAAGAAGAGGAUUUUGUUUCCCGCUACCUACAUUUAUGCUUUGAGUUUGACAGGC
Molecule: long non-coding RNA, 563 nt
Filed under: Mytilus galloprovincialis (Mediterranean mussel)
Lineage: Eukaryota; Metazoa; Mollusca; Bivalvia; Mytilida; Mytilidae
Source: RNAcentral